Unclassified non-coding RNA from Pongo abelii (Sumatran orangutan), 149 nucleotides. It matches the Rfam family "Metazoan signal recognition particle RNA". From Rfam's summary of the family: The signal recognition particle (SRP) is a universally conserved ribonucleoprotein. It is involved in the co-translational targeting of proteins to membranes. The record is from Ensembl. Lineage: Eukaryota; Metazoa; Chordata; Mammalia; Primates; Hominidae.
GCUGGGCAUGGUGGCGCGUGCCUGUAGUCUCAGCUACGUGGGAGGCUGAGGUGGGAGGAUUGCUUGAGCCCGGGAGGUCCAUGCUGCAGUGAGCCGUGGACUGCCCCACUGCACUCCAGCCUGAGCGACAGAGCAAGACUCUGUCUCAA